AGAUUGAACGCUGGCGGCAUGCCUUACACAUGCAAGUCGAACGGUAGAGUAGCAAUACUCGAGAGUGGCGAACGGGUGAGUAAUAUAUCGGAACGUGCCCAGUCGUGGGGGAUAACGUAGAGAAAUUUACGCUAAUACCGCAUACGAUCUAAGGACUGAAAGCGGGGGAUCGCAAGACCUCGCGCGAUUGGAGCGGCUAGAUAUCAGUAUUAGGGUUGUUGGUAGAGGUAAAAAGCUCCACGAAGCCGACGAUCUGUAGCUGGUUUGAGAGAACGACCAGCCACACGUGGGACUGAGACCACGCCCAGACUCCGUACGGAGGGCAGGCAGGUGGGGAAAUUUUGGAACGUAA
This 352-nucleotide ribosomal RNA is filed under the name uncultured soil bacterium. RNAcentral's name for it is "bacterial SSU rRNA". It matches the Rfam family "Bacterial small subunit ribosomal RNA", at positions 26 to 376 of the family's 1533-position model. The record is from RNAcentral.